AGCAGUCGCCGCGGUAAUACGGAGGGUGCAAGCGUUAAUCGGAAUUACUGGGCGUAAAGCGUGUGUAGGCGGCUUCGCAAGUCGGAUGUGAAAGCCCCGGGCUCAACCCGGGAAGUGCACUCGAUACUGCGGAGCUAGAGUGUCGGAGAGGUUGGUGGAAUUCUCGGUGUAGAGGUGAAAUUCGUAGAUAUCGAGAGGAACACCGGUGGCGAAGGCGGCCAACUGGACGAACACUGACGCUGAGACACGAAAGCGUGGGGAGCAAACAGGAUUAGAUACCCUGUAGUCCCUGUCUCUUAUACA
RNAcentral lists this ribosomal RNA (303 nucleotides) under uncultured bacterium. RNAcentral's name for it is "partial 16S ribosomal RNA". It matches the Rfam family "Bacterial small subunit ribosomal RNA", at positions 507 to 808 of the family's 1533-position model. The record is from RNAcentral.